This 501-nucleotide ribosomal RNA is filed under the name uncultured bacterium. RNAcentral's name for it is "partial 16S ribosomal RNA". It matches the Rfam family "Bacterial small subunit ribosomal RNA", at positions 29 to 523 of the family's 1533-position model. The record is from RNAcentral.
AUUGAACGCUGGCGGCAUGCCUUACACAUGCAAGUCGAACGGCAGCACGGGUGCUUGCACCUGGUGGCGAGUGGCGAACGGGUGAGUAAUACAUCGGAACGUACCUUAUCGUGGGGGAUAACGCAGCGAAAGCUGUGCUAAUACCGCAUACGCCCUGAGGGGGAAAGCGGGGGAUCGAAAGACCUCGCGCGAUUAGAGCGGCCGAUGCCUGAUUAGCUUGUUGGUGGGGUAAAAGCCCACCAAGGCGACGAUCAGUAGCUGGCCUGAGAGGACGGUCAGCAACACUGGGACUGAGACACGGCCCAGACUCCUACGGGAGGCAGCAGUGGGGAAUUUUGGACAAUGGGGGCAACCCUGAUCCAGCAAUGCCGCGUGAGUGAAGAAGGCCUUCGGGUUGUAAAGCUCUUUUGUCAGGGAAGAAACACCGGCUCUAACACAGUCCGGGAAUGACGGUACCUGAAGAAUAAGCACCGGCUAACUACGUGCCAGCCGCCGCAGUAA